AAAAAGAGCUUCUGUCGUGAGUGGCACACGUAAAGCAGCUUGAUUGUUCUACGUGUUGAAUCAACAUCGAGAGAUUUCGGAAGCAUAAUUUUUUGGUACCUGGGCAGCUAAGUGAUUGUUGGUCCUGGCGCCCUU
This is a small nuclear RNA of Artibeus jamaicensis (Jamaican fruit-eating bat), 135 nucleotides long. RefSeq annotates it as U11 spliceosomal RNA. NCBI's taxonomy places the organism in Eukaryota, Metazoa, Chordata, Mammalia, Chiroptera, Phyllostomidae. The transcript has a single exon. The record is from RefSeq and is a predicted model, not a curated record.